Vicia faba (fava bean) is the source of this 360-nucleotide non-coding RNA. The record is from the annotation of a GenBank genome assembly. NCBI's taxonomy places the organism in Eukaryota, Viridiplantae, Streptophyta, Magnoliopsida, Fabales, Fabaceae.
AUGCUUACUACUGCUUUUAAGUAUCAGACUAUUGCAAAUGCUUGGCUUGCACUAAACGAUGAUCGUCUAAUACCAGAUUAUGGGAAUAGAACUGGGAAUAAAAGGCGUUUCAUAAUUGGGUCAAUAAGUGGUUGUUCAAGCAAGAAGCUGUAUCCUUUUGGGACUUCCACUUUGCUAGAUGCUUGGCCUGCACUAAAUGAUGAUCGUCGAAUACCAGUUAUUAGAUGUGCUUCAUUAAGCAAAAGCCGAACAUCAUCAAAGGUAAUGAAUAUGCCAAAGGGCUAUCUUGCCGUGAAAAAUAUCAUUUUAUCUCGUGCUUCUUCCAAUUCUAUAUACAAUACAAAUUCAUCCCCAUCUUGA